GAUGAACGCUAGCGGCAGGCUUAACACAUGCAAGUCGAGGGGCAGCACAGGGAGCAAUCCUGGGUGGCGACCGGCGGAAGGGUGCGUAACGCGUGAGCAACUUGCCCGUAUCUGGGAGAUAACCGAUGGAAACGUCGACUAAUAUCCCAUAACACAUUUUGUGGCAUCGCAGGAUGUUAAAAGAGAAUCGGAUACGGAUAGGCUCGCGUGACAUUAGCUAGUUGGAGUGGUAACGGCACACCAAGGCGACGAUGUCUAGGGGUUCUGAGAGGAAGGUCCCCCACACUGGAACUGAGACACGGUCCAGACUCCUACGGGAGGCAGCAGUGAGGAAUAUUGGUCAAUGGGGCGAAAGCCUGAACCAGCCAUGCCGCGUGAAGGAUAAGGCCCUAUGGGUCGUAAACUUCUUUUGACGGGGAGCAAUAAGGUCUACGUGAGACUUUUUACAUGUACCUUAUGAAUAAGGACCGGCUAAUUCCGUG
This 482-nucleotide ribosomal RNA is filed under the name uncultured bacterium. RNAcentral's name for it is "bacterial SSU rRNA". It matches the Rfam family "Bacterial small subunit ribosomal RNA", at positions 28 to 507 of the family's 1533-position model. The record is from RNAcentral.